UACGUAGGGUGCAAGCGUUAAUCGGAAUUACUGGGCGUAAAGCGUGCGCAGGCGGUGAUGUAAGACAGGUGUGAAAUCCCCGGGCUUAACCUGGGAACUGCAUUUGUGACUGCAUCGCUGGAGUGCGGCAGAGGGGGAUGGAAUUCCGCGUGUAGCAGUGAAAUGCGUAGAUAUGUGGAGGAACACCGAUGGCGAAGGCAGCCCCCUGGGUCAAGAUUGACGCUCAUGCACGAAAGCGUGGGGAGCAAACAGG
This 253-nucleotide ribosomal RNA is filed under the name uncultured bacterium. RNAcentral's name for it is "partial 16S ribosomal RNA". It matches the Rfam family "Bacterial small subunit ribosomal RNA", at positions 524 to 776 of the family's 1533-position model. The record is from RNAcentral.